UGGGUUCUGGGAAGCCCGGGUCUCACAGGAAGCUGGGUUUGUUUCCACCACCGGCUGAACAAAGGAGAAGGUCCAGUCUCAGUCUCGGUCUUGUGCCUUGCCUCAGGUGAAAUGACACCGAGAGCAGAUGGAAUUCCCCACAAAACCUGCGGACGCAGACAGACUUGAAACGCAGCCCUGAUACUUGAUGCAGGCUUUCUGAAGGCAAAGCGCUGUUUCUGGGCCAGCCCUCAUAGAGCCCAUCUCUCUCUCUCUAACGCCUCUGUGACACAAGAGGAGCCAAUCACUGUGUAAACAGACUGCUCCUGCUUACUUGCUUACUCUAAGUACCAUGGUUUCCUCCAGACUCUAGUGGUCCUGUGAAACAUUCAGUGUCAUCUCCAGACAUCACCAAUUACCUCUCCGAGAUCAGCCUGCUCUUUGAUGGAGGGCACACGUCCUUCCUGUACUUCAGUAAUGAUGAGGAAUCAACAGUGUCCUCUUCGAGACAAUGUGGGGAAGUGCUGUAAAAGGCCAUCGAGAUGUUAUGGUAUAGAGAGAAAAGGACAGA
Long non-coding RNA from Lepisosteus oculatus (spotted gar), 550 nucleotides. RefSeq lists it as uncharacterized. Lineage: Eukaryota; Metazoa; Chordata; Actinopteri; Semionotiformes; Lepisosteidae. The record is from RefSeq and is a predicted model, not a curated record.